UUUAGAAUUAAACAGCAUUUUUCUUUCUUUUUUUUAAAAGGUAUUUUCUUUAUUUGCAUUUCAAAUAUUAUCCCCUUUCCUGGUUGCCCUUCGGAAACCCCCCCAUCUCCCUGCUCAUCAACCCACCCAAUCCCACUUCCCUGUCCUGGCAUUCUCCUACACUGGAGCAUUGAGCUUUCACAGGACCAAGGGCCUCUCCUCCCAUUGAUGUCCAACAAGGCCAUCCAAUGGUGCAUAUGGGGCUGGAGAUAUGGAUCCCUCCAUGUGUACUCUUUGGUUGGUGGUUUAGUUACUGGGAGCUCUGGGGUACUGGUUGGUCGAAUUUGUUGUUCCUCCUAUGGGACUGCAAAGCCCUCCAGCUCCUUGGAUGCUUUCUCUAGUUCCUCCAUUAGGGAUCCUGUGAUUAGUCCAAUGGUAGGCUGAGAGCAUCCACCUCUGUAUUUGUCAGGCACUGAUCCUGUCCUCACAGGAGACAGCUAUAUCAGGCUCCUAUAGCAAGAGCUUGUUGGCAUCAACAAUAGUGUCUGAGUUUGGUGAAUAUAUAUGUGAUGGGUCUACAUGUAGGGAUGUGUCUGGAUGGUCUUUCCUUCAGAGUAUGCCCCACACUUUUUGUCCAUAUCUCCUCCCAUGGGUAUUUUGUUUCCCCUUCUAAGAUGGACCAAUGUAUCCAUACCUUGGUCUUCCUUCUUUUUGAGCUUCAUAUGGUUCAUGAAUUGUAUCUUGGGUAUUCCAAACUUCUGGGCUAAUAUCCACUUAUCAGUGUCUGUUCUCUCAUGAUUAGGUUACCUCACUCAGGAUAUUUUCUAGCUCCUUCCAUUUGCCUAAGAAUUUCAUCAAUUCUUUGUUUUCAAUAUCCGAGUAGUACUCCAUUGUGUAAAUGCACCACAUUUUCUGUAUCCAUUUCUCUGUUGAAGGACAUCUGGGUUGUUUCCAGCUUCUUGCUAUUGUAAAUAAGGCUGCUAUGAACAUAGUGGAGCAUGCGUCUUUAAUACAUGGUGGAGCAUCUUCUGGGAAUAUGCCCAGGAGUGGGAUAACUGGGUCCUCCAGUAGUACUUUGUCCAAUUUUCUGAGGAACUGCUAAACUGUUUUCCAGACUGGAUGUGCUAGCUUGCAAUCCCACCAUCAAUGGAAGAGUGUUCCUUUUUCUCCCGACGAUUCUCAGCACCUGCUGUCCCCUGAGUUUUUGAUCUUAGCCAUUCUGGCUAUGAGGUAGAAUCUCAGGGUUGUUUUGAUAUGCAUUUCCAUGAUAACUAAGUAUGUUAAACAUUUCUUUUUUAUUGGGUAUUUUAUUUUUUCUUUAAUUAUAAUUGAAAUGUUAUCCCCUUUCCUGGUUUCCCCUCCUAAAAUCCCUAUCCCAUCCCCCUCCCCCUGCUCACCAACCCCCUACUCCUACUUCCCUGUCCCGGUAUUCCUCUGUGUGGGGCAUCGAGCCUUCUCAGGACUAAGGGCCUCUCCUCCCUUCAGUGUCCAACAAUGCCAUCCUCUGCUACCUAUACAGUUGGAGCCAUGCAUCCCUCCAUAUGUAAUCUUUGCUUGGUAGGUUAGUUCCUGGCAGUUCUGGGGGUGCUGGUGGGUUCAUAUUGUUCCUCCUUCUAUCUGGCUGCAAGCUCCUUGCCAUCAGAUCCUUGGGUCCUUUCUCUAGCUCCUAUAUUGGGGUCCUUGUGCUCACUCCAGUGGUUGGCUGAGAGCACCCAUCUCUGUAUUUGUCAGGUACUGGCAGAGCCUCUCAGGAGACAGCUAAAUCAGGCUUCUGUCAACAAGCACUUGUUGGCAUCCACAAUAGUGUCUGUAUAUGGGAUAUUGGUGACUAUAUAUGGAAUGGAACCCCAGGUGGGUCAGUCUCUGGAUGGUCUUUCCUUCAGUCUCUGCUCCACACUUUGUCUAUCUUCUCUCAUGGGUAUUUUGUUCCACCUUCUAAGAAGGACCUACGUAUCCAUACUUUGGUUUUUCAUCUUCUUGAGCUUAAUUUGUCUGUAAAUUGUAUCAUGGGUAUUCCAAACUUCUGGGCUAACAUCCACUUAUCACUGAGUGCAUACCAUGUGUGUUCUUUUGUGAUUGGGUUACCUCACUCAGGAUGAAAUUUUCUAUUUCUAUCCAUUUGCCAAGAAUUUCAUGAAUUCAGUGUUUUAAAUAGCUGAGUAGUAUUCCAUUGUGUAAAUAUACCACAUUUUAUGUAUCCAUUCCUCUGUUGAGAGACAUCUGGGUUCUUUCCAGUUUCCAGCUAGUAUAAAUCAGGCUGAACCCAGUGGAGCGUUUUCUGGUAUAUGCCAGGAGUGGUAUAGCUGGGUUCUCAGGUCGUACUAUGAUUUUCUGAGGAACCACCAAGCUGAUUUCUAGACUGGUUGUACCAGCUUGCAAUCCCACCUCCACAUCCUUGACAGCACUCUUGUCACCUGAGUUUUUGAUCUUAGCUUUUCUGACUGAUGUGUAGCUGAAUCUCAAGGUUGUUUUGAUUUGCAUUUCCCUGAUGAGUAAUGAUGUUGAACAUUUCUUUAGGUGCUUCUCAGCCGUUCAUUAUUCCUCAGUUGAGAAUUCUUUGUUUAGCUCUCUGAGUUCAAUUCCCAUCAAAUACAUGAUAGAUCGCAUCCAUCUGUAAUAGGAUCUGAUGCCCUGUUCUGGUGUGUCUGAAGACAGGUACAGUUUACUCAUGUAAAUGAAAUGAAUGAAUUUUUUAAAAAGUGUCUAUUGUUCUAAUACUUAUAUUAUUGUUCCAUUUUCACUAUUGGAUUUAGUGUAGAUCAUAAAUUUAACUCUUACGUAGCAUGCAGAGCAUUGAAGACCAUUCCUCCUGUAAAACAGAAUAGAAUGAAGCUCAGGGAUUCACCUCUCUGACUUUUUAAAAUGCUAAUGGCUACAAAAUGUAUGUAGAGUCGAUAUUCUAACAUGUCACUGUUGAAAUUGCACUAAAAACACAAGGUGUGUAUAAUGAUCACCAUGCAAUUUGAUUUUAAUACUUUCUAGGUUAUACAAAACAGUGAUUAAAGAGAAAGUGUAGUAUAAAAGUAAUUUCUAACCAGUGACAUUAAGUAGAAUACUCAGUAACUUAGCUAAACCAGAUGUGUCCUCAGGACAGAGAAGACCAGAAGAGCAGAUAGUCCUGCCGGGAAAUGCACUCUUGCCUCCGCUGUUUGAUUUCAGCUAUGGCAAAUGCUCAGUAUUAUAGAAGAGCAAUCUUCCUGAUGUCUUUCAACACCUUUGUGACUUAGAUCCAAUUCCUUUACAGUAAACAUUUUUACUGAUUUUCACCCACGACUCUAGUGCUUUCAUAUGUUACCCUGCCAUAAUUAUUAACAAACUUGUGUGUAGUUUAGAAGAUUGGUAAUAUAUACUUUUUAUAUUUUCUUCAUGUGAUGUUGUGUUUAUUUCCCUUUUGUCCUUGAAGAAAUGUUUUCAGAAAAUAAAAAUGUUGUUCUAAUUUAAAUAAAUAUUGUUCGAGGCUUGUCAAUGCCAGCCCCUGCACUGCACCUGUGCUCACCAUUGGUCUGGUUUUCAUGAGCAGAUAGUGCUCUGUGCUCCAUGACAUUUGACAGGUAUUUCCCUUUUUUUCCUGUCAGGACAUCCUGUAGUAAUAAGAGAAAAAGGCCCCACAACACGGGGCUUAUUCAUCAUUUCUUCCAAUGAGACAUCGUGCAAUAAGCUGAAGGAAACAUUGGGUUCUAGGGAAGAAGUGGAUAUAAAAUAUCACUCAGUCCAUGAAGUGGCCUGGAUCCUAAAGAUUAGACAUGGUUGCAGUGUGGUAAGAAACAUCAUUUUUUCAUCCACAUGGAGCAAAUAUUUCAUGUUCCUGAAUUCUCCAUCUAACAUCAGCAACAUAAAGAAUUAGAACAUGGACUCAGCAGCUGCCACAGUGGGAGGACAUGGACCCCUGGCCAUUGUGCACUGGCGGAAAGUCCAGUGGCUCCUCUUCUCUAGGAGAGUAUUAUAGGAUAAAUUAUCCAUAAUUGCGGGAAGGGGCCAAAGUUCAUAUCAAAUAUUCCGAUUCGUACCAGAAAAAUCACACUGGUCCCUGAGGGAUAAGAUUUACACUGAACUACAUAUUAACUGUAGUGAAGAAUCUGUGCUCAUAGUAGCUUCCGUUUUAAAGUAUUCUACUGAAGAUGCCAUGUACAAAUUACAUCCUGCUAAAACAGCUCAUCUCUGUGCUAUUAAAAUGAAAACCUCUAUGAGGAAUCACUUAGACACCUACACCUUAUCUGUCCGCGUAGCCCCUCAUGUGCUGUGGGAUCCAACUUGCUAAACUCAUAAUUUGGGAGUGACCUCCCAAAAUAGAUAUCUAUCAUACAUAUCAUGAUUGACAACUGUGUAGAUAUAUUUGGAUAGAAUAACAAUAUGAUUGUGACCAUAACCAAAAGAGGUCAGAUGACAUAAAGACAUCAGUAAAUACUGCUGCAGGGAAAAAUGAAACAACUUCAACAUAUAUCUUUUCACAAUGGAAAUUUCCUCAUGACUGAAGAAGUUGCUGGUCAUUUUAUUUCAAUAUUCCCUUCUACCUCCCUCUUAACCACAGCAGAAGAGAUUAUUACGAGAAACAACUUCAGUUUUAUAUUUAACCAUAUUGUUACAUAGUUUCACUCACUAUAUUUAUUUUAUGUUGUAUAUUACACAUUCUUAUCUAUUAAUAUUAAUAAAUGGUAUUAAAUUAUGUUAUU
Long non-coding RNA from Apodemus sylvaticus (European woodmouse), 4649 nucleotides. RefSeq lists it as uncharacterized. NCBI's taxonomy places the organism in Eukaryota, Metazoa, Chordata, Mammalia, Rodentia, Muridae. The transcript has 6 exons. The record is from RefSeq and is a predicted model, not a curated record.